This 253-nucleotide ribosomal RNA is filed under the name uncultured bacterium. RNAcentral describes it as "partial 16S ribosomal RNA". It matches the Rfam family "Bacterial small subunit ribosomal RNA", at positions 524 to 776 of the family's 1533-position model. The record is from RNAcentral.
UACAGAGGGUGCAAGCGUUGCUCGGAAUCAUUGGGCGUAAAGGGCAGGUAGGUGGUCCCAUUUGUCUGAGGUGAAAGCCUUCGGCUUAACCGGGAGAGGUCGGUAGAAACUGCCAAGCUUGAGGACGGUAGAGGGGGGUGGAAUUCCUGGUGUAGCGGUGGAAUGCGCAGAUAUCAGGAGGAACAUCCGUGGCGAAGGCGGCUCUCUGGGACGGUACUGACGCUGAGGAGCGAAAGCGUGGGGAGCGAACAGG